UACGAAGGGGGCUAGCGUUGUUCGGAAUUACUGGGCGUAAAGGGCGCGUAGGCGGUUUUUCAAGUCAGGCGUGAAAGCCCCGGGCUUAACCUGGGAACUGCGCUUGAGACUGUGAGACUAGAGUACCGGAGAGGUGGGUGGAAUUCCCAGUGUAGAGGUGAAAUUCGUAGAUAUUGGGAAGAACACCGGUGGCGAAGGCGGCCCACUGGACGGUAACUGACGCUGAGGCGCGAAAGCGUGGGGAGCAAACAGG
This 253-nucleotide ribosomal RNA is filed under the name uncultured bacterium. RNAcentral describes it as "partial 16S ribosomal RNA". It matches the Rfam family "Bacterial small subunit ribosomal RNA", at positions 524 to 776 of the family's 1533-position model. The record is from RNAcentral.